UACAGAGGGUGCAAGCGUUAAUCGGAAUUACUGGGCGUAAAGCGUGCGCAGGCGGUUUUGUAAGUCUGUCGUGAAAGCCCCGGGCUCAACCUGGGAAUUGCGAUGGAGACUGCAAGGCUUGAAUCUGGCAGAGGGGGGUAGAAUUCCACGUGUAGCAGUGAAAUGCGUAGAGAUGUGGAGGAACACCGAUGGCGAAGGCAGCCCCCUGAGUCAAGAUUGACGCUCAUGCACGAAAGCGUGGGGAUCAAACAGG
RNAcentral lists this ribosomal RNA (253 nucleotides) under uncultured bacterium. RNAcentral's name for it is "partial 16S ribosomal RNA". It matches the Rfam family "Bacterial small subunit ribosomal RNA", at positions 524 to 776 of the family's 1533-position model. The record is from RNAcentral.